RNAcentral lists this ribosomal RNA (497 nucleotides) under uncultured bacterium. RNAcentral's name for it is "partial 16S ribosomal RNA". It matches the Rfam family "Bacterial small subunit ribosomal RNA", at positions 28 to 507 of the family's 1533-position model. The record is from RNAcentral.
GAUGAACGCUGGCGGCGUGCCUAAUACAUGCAAGUCGAGCGAACAGACGAGGAGCUUGCUCCUCUGACGUUAGCGGCGGACGGGUGAGUAACACGUGGAUAACCUACCUAUAAGACUGGGAUAACUUCGGGAAACCGGAGCUAAUACCGGAUAAUAUAUUGAACCGCAUGGUUCAAUAGUGAAAGACGGUUUUGCUGUCACUUAUAGCUGGAUCCGAGCCGCAUUAGCUAGUUGGUAAGGUAACGGCUUACCAAGGCAACGCUGCGUAGCCGACCUGAGAGGCUGAUCGGCCACACUGGAACUUAGACACGGUCCAGACUCCUACGGUAGGCAGCAGUAGGGAAUCUUCCGCAAUGGGCGAAAGCCUGACGGAGCAACAUCGCGUGAGUGAUGAAGGUCUUCGGAUCGUAAAACUCUGUUAUUAGGGAAGAACAAAUGUGUAAGUAACUAUGCACGUCUUGACGGUACCUAAUCAGAAAGCCACGGCUAACUACGUG